This 252-nucleotide ribosomal RNA is filed under the name Triticum aestivum (bread wheat). Its description in RNAcentral is "partial small subunit ribosomal RNA". The record is from RNAcentral. Lineage: Eukaryota; Viridiplantae; Streptophyta; Magnoliopsida; Poales; Poaceae.
AUGUCCAAAUUUUGGUGGGGAUCAAGCAAGGGACAACAGAAGGUUCACUGGAUCAACUGGGAGAAGAUGGCAAGGCAUAAAUGUUUGGGCGGUGUAGGCUUCAGAGAAAUGGAGGCCUUUAACCAGGUGCUGUUGGCUAGACAGGGAUGGAGAAUGCUAACAUGCCCUGAUACUCUGUCUGCAAGAGUGUUAAAAGCUAGAUAUUUCAAGCACAUUAGUUUUCUUCAAGCCGCAAAAAACUGCAGGAGAUGA